Molecule: long non-coding RNA, 506 nt
Organism: Panicum virgatum (switchgrass)
Lineage: Eukaryota; Viridiplantae; Streptophyta; Magnoliopsida; Poales; Poaceae
Exons: 2
Source: RefSeq, a predicted model, not a curated record
AACCUAGGUAUACUUGCUGAAAUCAUCAAUAAAGCUGACAUAAUACGACUGUUUUCCAACAGAUUCAGGCGCUCGCCCCCAAACAGCAGAGAAAAUUAGUUCAAGAGGAGCAGUGGACAUAUGAUGCGAACGAGAAUAUGAAAAAGAAGGGUGGCCUAAAUGACUAUGCCAUCUAGAUAUAGACGGCUUGCUCACACCAAGGACUUGUUUAUUGGAGUCUGCUUCAUGCGCCACUAGGGGAUAUAGGCCCCCUUGACAUCUAUCGUGAUGCAGUAUUUUCUUCGUGACCCGAUCCUUGAUAAGAAAGAAGUUUGGAUGAAACUCAAAAUAUGCAUCAUUAUCAAGGGCAAGUUUAUGAAUAGAAGCAAGAUUUUUGUGAGCACUAGGAACAUGCAGAAUAUUGUUUAGAUGCAGAUUCAUAUUAGGGGUACGUAAAAUUGUAUGACAAAUAUUACUAAUCCUCAUACCUGAGCCACUUUCAGUAUGGACUUGAUCAUUGCCGUCGU